CCCACGCACCUCUUACCUGGAGGGCGCACGUAGCUGAGCAAUCACCUAAACGCAGACGCACGCAUUCAACGAGUGCACAAUGGCGGGCAAGUUCCGCGGCGAUGUCGGCAAGCUCUCAAAGCCGAAAAAGAACAAGGCAGCCAAGCGGGCUAAGAGUAAGAAAGUCGUCUCACUCGUCAAGCGCAGUCCCAAGUUAGCGCAGGAUACUCUGCAGAGUCGCAUUGCUGAGCUGACCAGCCUCGACAGCGCCGCACGUGUUAGCAUCGGCGGACCGAAGGCUGGCAAGGCCGCGGCUCCUCCCUCCGCAGGGAAGGUCCGGAUCGGCAAAGCUGCAUUAGAGGUUGUGGGGAAGCGAAAGCGAGAGCGUGUGGUGCCGGAGAAGGAGGCGCCGGUGCAGCGAAGCACAGCAGAGGCUGUCGGUUUGAAGAUCUUGCACCAGGCCGUCAAGAGCCAGAGCCACGGUCGGCUGCUACCUCAUCAGAACCGCCACGACUACGAGUAUCGCCUCCGCUCUGUUGCCACCAUGGGCGUAGUGCAGCUGUUCAACUCACUCGCGCAGUCCCGCAAGGCGAGCGCCGCUCUAGACACCGAGAAGAAGAUGACGUCGGACAAGGUGAUGGAGAAGAAGCAACUAGUCUCGAAGGAGGUCUUCUUGGCGGCGUUACGCCAACCGCAGCAGCACUGAAUCUGCCUACGUGUUGUUGCAGGCGCACCUCUCUCUCUCUGUUUGCAUCCCUGAGUGGGCAUGCGCGUGCGUUCCUCCUUGCCACUGUGCUGUGUUUUGCCUCUUCCCCUCUACUCCGCUGUACGUGCGUCGGUUGUUUUGCAGGGCUGUGGGGCGCGCGAAAGAAGUAAAAGAGAAGGUGCGGGAGUGGCGGUGCAGAUAGGGAACGAAGUAACGACGUGUAAUUUUCGGGUGACCGUGACAGAGCCACCGCAUGCCCGGGCCUUGCUCUCUGUGCGCGCAGAUGCACGACGCGUUUGUGCUUAAAGAAUAUACAAACGUAGAAAGGAAUGGCUAAACCACGAGGAGGCCUUUAGGCGGCGUCGCAGUCGUGCCCCACGUCCUACUCCUUCAAGUGGCGACCCGCUCCAUGAGCACACAAGCGGUUAUUCGAGUGGAUGAGUGCGCGCCACUCUGUAGCGGCGAAGAAAGACGAGCGACUGUGCUGUAGUCUCCUCACCACUUCUUCCUGCACGUACACGACCGUCCACGCAAUCGAAUGGCUGUUCACGGCUCCUUCAUGGCGUUUACUUGGCGGUCGGCACCGAACGCACAGUCAUAGCCGUCUGCCUCCAUUCGCUCCUUUCCUCGCCUCCUCUUUCUCCUCUUUCGUGUGUUCUGCCGCUACCUUGUGGUGGGCUGCUUGCACUGGUACGAGCCGUUUCACUAACCCACUUUUUCUCCUCUCCAUUUCCUCUUGCACAAACCUGUUCUGCAUGAACCUCGAUGGGCGGCAAAACGGCUGCUGCGAAG
This 1477-nucleotide unclassified non-coding RNA is filed under the name Leishmania donovani. RNAcentral describes it as "gene:LdHU3.05.0110(CDS-product:Rrp15p_putative)". Lineage: Eukaryota; Euglenozoa; Kinetoplastea; Trypanosomatida; Trypanosomatidae. The record is from RNAcentral.